AUGGCCUGGGAAAGCAGUAGGAGAUGGCCUGAGUCCUUGGACCCCUGCACCCACAUGGGAGACCCAGAAGAAGCUCCUGGCUCCUGGCUUCAGCCUGGCCCAGCCCUGGUCAUUGCGGCCAUGUGGAGAGUGAACCAGUCGAUAGAAGAUCUCUCUUUCUCUCUCUCUCUCUGCCUCUGUCUCUCAAAUAAACAAGUAAUUUUUAAAAAAAAAUUUUUUUUGUUUUGCAUUUGUCUUCCCCUUCCAUUCAUUCUUAAAAGUCCACAUAAACAGAAGGUAUUCUGCUUUAUAUGCAAGAAUCCUCCCCUUAGCAUGCUACAUUUGAUUUGGGAGUCUACAUUUGGGAAAAACAAACUCCAAGAAAUUGAUCCCCCACCCUGUCAUUUCCAAGUGAGUAGCUCUCCAGUGGUGAGACCCCAUGCAUACUUUCUGCUGUUCAAGGGGUGUGAUUUAAGGUUCUGUGAAACCACUGUCCCCUACAAACAGUCUACCCUUCUCUACCUAUUCCUAAGCAUUCAUAUUUCAGAGAUGUCAAGGCAGAGUUUGGCCUGUUGCAAAUGCUAUCACAGAGUAGGUAUUACAAGGCUAAUGCCACCACCACCACCACUCCUCAACAAAACGACACAGAAAAGAAAAAAUGAGAGAAAUGUGUUUUUUUUUCAAGAUUUAUUUAUUUUACUUGAAAGUCACAGUUACACAGAGAGAGAAGGAGAGGCAGAGAGAGAGAGGAGAGAGAGGUCUUUUAUCAGAUGGUUAACUCCCCAAUUGGCUGCAACUGCCGGAGCUGCACUGAUCCUAAGCCAGGAGCCAGGAGCUUCUUCUGGGUCUUCCACGUGUGGAUGCAGGGGCCCAAAGACUUGGGCCAUCUUCUACUGCUAUCCCAGGCCACAGCAGAGAGCUGGAUUGGAAAUGGAGCAGCCGGGAAUUGAACUGGCGCCCAUAUGGGAUGGCAGCAAUGCAGGCGGCAGCUUUACCCACUACACCACAGCGCUGGCCCCAAGGGAAACUUGUAAAGAUGAAUGA
This 1023-nucleotide long non-coding RNA is filed under the name Oryctolagus cuniculus (rabbit). RNAcentral's name for it is "lncRNA (ENSOCUG00000033350.1)". Lineage: Eukaryota; Metazoa; Chordata; Mammalia; Lagomorpha; Leporidae. The record is from RNAcentral.